This is a long non-coding RNA of Venturia canescens, 787 nucleotides long. RefSeq lists it as uncharacterized. The record is from RefSeq and is a predicted model, not a curated record. NCBI's taxonomy places the organism in Eukaryota, Metazoa, Arthropoda, Insecta, Hymenoptera, Ichneumonidae. The transcript is spliced from 3 exons.
CCUCAAUUGAUUGAAGGAGAUCGUCCGUUGCAUAUUUCUGAACCGGCUGUACAAUUGUUUUUUCCUCGAGUAAACAGAGUCGGGUAAUUAUCAUUGGAAUCACAGUAAAAUCUCAACCGGGGAUAACGUAAACGAGAUCAAAUAAAUUCGGCCUGUUGGAGCGAAGACCGUUAUCUCUAGUUACGACACAUGUUUGAGGAAUAGCGAGGAAAUUUCCGGCCCCGAUAACAAUAUCGGACAAAAACAUUUUCACCCUGGGUACCUAUAACUCAAUACUUAAAAAAUUAAUUAAUUUUUGGAGAUAUCUGAACCCGCUCGUAUCGAAAAACCAUACAAUAACAAGUGAAUAACAAACAUUCUCCGGCUGACGAGAUGAGAAAACAAGACAACAAAAAUAUAUACUGAGCACUCAACUUUCAACAAACAACGCGAGAUUUAUCUCACACAAUGUACAAGUGUGACGUAUUCGUGAGGAAGUUCUUGAAAGACUUCCUGUCCACCUUGGCUCACGUUACCACUGCCAGUGAAGACAAAAGUCAAUGGUCCGAUCGAUUUGGGCAUUGCUCCUAAUGCGAUUUCGUAGCCAACAUCCCGGAUGGCUUGUCUGGCUACCGCCGAAUCUCGACACUUUUGAGUUAAAAAAAAUGAAAAAAAAAAGGAAGAAACGAAGAAUACCAUAAACGGCGUGUGAUGACCAAGUGCAAGAAGUCUCAGACCAAGACCAUGCAAAAUAUUGACCAUCCCAGCGACGCCGGCGUAUUUUCCAAAAGCCACGACACGCUGACCA